This is a non-coding RNA of Vicia faba (fava bean), 204 nucleotides long. The record is from the annotation of a GenBank genome assembly. Lineage: Eukaryota; Viridiplantae; Streptophyta; Magnoliopsida; Fabales; Fabaceae.
AUGGAUUCCCUCCAACACCAUCAAUUUGUUCUGCUGAGUUGUGUGAAUUGGAAUUCCUAUGUGGCCAAACAAGUUGUUGCUCCAUGGUGCAAGAAGCUUAUUGAAAAUGGACAUGGUGAUGUUUGGUAUGGCUAUCCUCCUGUAGUUUGUGAUGAAGGAGACGAUGACGACGAUGGUGGUUAUGAUUAUGCUCCAGCAGCAUAA